This 253-nucleotide ribosomal RNA is filed under the name uncultured bacterium. Its description in RNAcentral is "partial 16S ribosomal RNA". It matches the Rfam family "Bacterial small subunit ribosomal RNA", at positions 524 to 776 of the family's 1533-position model. The record is from RNAcentral.
UACGUAGGGGGCAAGCGUUGUCCGGAAUUAUUGGGCGUAAAGAGCUCGUAGGCGGACUGUCACGUCUGCUGUGAAAACCUAGGGCUUAACCCUGGGCUUGCAGUAGAUACGGGCAGACUAGAGGUAGGUAGGGGAGAAUGGAAUUCCCGGUGUAGCGGUGAAAUGCGCAGAUAUCGGGAGGAACACCGGUGGCGAAGGCGGUUCUCUGGGCCUUACCUGACGCUGAGGAGCGAAAGCGUGGGGAGCAAACAGG